CCUACGGGAGGCAGCAGUGGGGAAUUUUGGACAAUGGGCGCAAGCCUGAUCCAGCAAUGCCGCGUGCAGGAUGAAGGCCUUCGGGUUGUAAACUGCUUUUGUACGGAACGAAACGGCUCCUAUUAAUACUGGGGGCUAAUGACGGUACCGUAAGAAUAAGCACCGGCUAACUACGUGCCAGCAGCCGCGGUAAUACGUAGGGUGCGAGCGUUAAUCGGAAUUACUGGGCGUAAAGCGUGCGCAGGCGGUUAUAUAAGACAGAUGUGAAAUCCCCGGGCUCAACCUGGGACCUGCAUUUGUGACUGUAUAGCUAGAGUACGGUAGAGGGGGAUGGAAUUCCGCGUGUAGCAGUGAAAUGCGUAGAUAUGCGGAGGAACACCGAUGGCGAAGGCAAUCCCCUGGACCUGUACUGACGCUCAUGCACGAAAGCGUGGGGAGCAAACAGGAUUAGAUACCCUGGUAGUCCACGCCCUAAACGAUGUCAACUGGUUGUUGGGUCUUCACUGACUCAGUAACGAAGCUAACGCGUGAAAGUUGACCGCCUGGGGAGUAACGGCCGCAAGGUUGAAACUUAAAGGAAAUUGACGGNGNGNGAGNGCGAGACGACGACGAGGAGAGG
RNAcentral lists this ribosomal RNA (619 nucleotides) under uncultured bacterium. RNAcentral describes it as "bacterial SSU rRNA". It matches the Rfam family "Bacterial small subunit ribosomal RNA", at positions 338 to 946 of the family's 1533-position model. The record is from RNAcentral.